Meleagris gallopavo (turkey) is the source of this 8123-nucleotide non-coding RNA. NCBI's taxonomy places the organism in Eukaryota, Metazoa, Chordata, Aves, Galliformes, Phasianidae. The record is from RefSeq and is a predicted model, not a curated record.
GGUCCUUUCAUUCUCUUUUAUUUUUUUUCCUCAUGAAUAAAAAAUGUAUUUGUAGUUUCACAGAAGUAACUGCAUGAUGAAGAGAAACACAUUUUGAUGUUGUUAUUUUGGUAUUGUCAUGGUGCCAAAUGACAGAGCUUUUAUAAUAUUCGUGAGUCAGUGACUGUACAGAACAGUAGUUCCUGUUGAUUAAUUGUAUUAGACAACAAUAUGAGCAGAGGUGAGAAAGCUGCUGCCAAGAAAAAACAAGACUGCAGUGAGAAAUACACAACUAAUAAAUAUCUAAGUAUGCACCGAUACACAUAAAACCAUGUAGAUGCCAAUAUAUUUAAUGGCAAUGAUGUCAAUUUCAGUGAGAAGUAAGAUAGCACGCCUUCAUGUUGACAGUUUGAGUAGGUGAGAAAAUCAAGAUAUUAUGCUGGCUUGCAGACAUUGAAAUCAAAAUCUUUGUCAGAAAAAAUAACAUAGAAAUCACUAAUGUAAAUAUAAAUUGUGCAUAGAUUUAAACCUUCAAAAGAAACAGCCUUCAAAUCUAGAAUAAAGUACAUAGUAAUGGCUUUCUGCCAGUAUAAUUGUUUAGUCUUUCAACAGGCAGGUCUAAAAUCUUGAGGUCAGGUUCACAGCAGAGCGGGCCUGUGAUUUCGGUGUUGCAAAUAGGGAAAUGAAGUGGUUUACUACAGUGCAUUACCCAUAUGCUUAAAGCUUUUUUAAUAUCUCAGGCCAAAUUCUGUCUUGAGAAAUAUGUGCGCUAAAUCCUGGUGUUUUUUGUUUGUUUGUUUGUUUGUUUAGUUUGAACAUUUAUUUUAAAGUUAUCUUACCUAUAAUGUCAUUUCCUCUUUUGUUUAUUUUACUUACAGAAACACUUACCAUUACCCACAUAUAAUCACAGUUGACUUAGCAAUGAUGGUUCAGAGAAUCUGUUUAAGGAGAAUUUAUCAGUUCUGGAGGAUGGAAGCCUACCAAGAACUUUCCUGAAAAUACCAAGGAAGAUGUCAUUAGCAGGAGAUGCUGCCCAGCUGUCUCAUGAGAAUGUGUGGUCCAGUCACUAGAAUUCACUCCAUCUGUAGCUCAGAAGAAAAAUGGAGGACUAGGGGUGAAAUCAUAGGCUGAGUGAUGUCAUGGAAAUAAUAUCCUUAGAGGAGGACUUCAUGCCAAAACCCAGGAGCAGACAGAUUUCUGAGAAAGAUCUUGAUCAUCAAUAACUCCUGCUAAUUCAGUGGAAAUCACAGUCAGGUUGGCAAGCACUGUGCAUCAUCUCUUUUGAUCCCUACAUGCUUUUGUAGAAGAAAUUGGAAAAGCAACAUCCAAGAGGAAAUACAUGAAGAUCUAACCUGCCCUGUGUGAAAAUAUUCAUUUCAUAAUGUACGAGCUGCUGUUCUAUCGAUACAGCUGAAAACAGCCCCUAAUAAUUCAGGCAAGGGAAGACUGGAUUAAGGCAAUGAGGAAAAAAAAUUAGAGAUAAAAGAUGGACUUCUCUGUGAUCUUGGACAUUUGUUGUAAUCUCCAGUGUCAGAAAUUUUCCCCAAGUGGUCACUUUGUCAGUGAUUGAUUUCUUCACCCUAAUGGCUACUAGCAAAUACAAUCAACCCCAAAAGUCAUCGAAAUUUGGGGUGGUCCCCACGAAGGAAUGGGGUUCAUCGAGGUUACCCUGGACACCUCAUAGCACAGGAAAAAGAGCAGGCCCAGCUGUAAUUCAUUUCUCACAAUUUCUCGGUAUUCUUUCUAUUUUAUUAAGAAACCAAAAAGCAAAGCAAACAAGUACAAACUGUUCUACAGAAGCGUUUUGUGCUACAGGCAAGAGUAUCGUUUUCUUGUAGCAUCUCUUCUUACUUUAUCUCUUCUUCCCACAGCCAGACAAGAAACAAAUAUAAAAGUAUGUGUCAUCUCAGACAAAAGCCACCUUUCUCUCUUUGCAUCUCAUGGAAGACUGAAAUUUCGGAACAAAAUUGCCUUCUCUCAUAUCAAACUGAACAAAGCAGCUAUGUCCAGACAUAUUAUAUGCUUCCCUAUGAAAAGGAAAAUAAAUCUUCACAUUUUUAUUUAUGGAGGACAAGUUGGUACUUACAUGAUAAAUUCUGCAGUAGUAACGAAAUGGCUUUGAACUUCUUAACCACCAUUUAAAAUGAUGCAGAAACAAGUAAGAAAUUUAUAAAUGAAGCCUGGCUGUAUUUGAAAUGCACGUAGCAGGAUGGAAGAAAAUGGAAAUCCUUGUGGAUCAGUCUGAAGCAAGUAGGAGGAACCAGAGAGCUCCUUCACAGAAAGAACGCAUAUCUUGCAUUAUCAGGUUGGAUUAUAUUAGGAAGUUUUGCUAAAUUUACCUUAACCAAACCUUCAUCUUGGGUAUUUUCCAUGGAUCAUUUGGGUAAAAUGGACACCUUAGCUCCACAUUAUAUUUAACUCAUCUACAUAUGCUGUAAAAGGAACCUCGAUAAUCAUACCUCCUCAUUACUGCCGUCAGAAUUCUGCUUUUGUUAGACAAAAUGCAAACACAAACAUCAUUUAGCUUUUUUCCAUAUAGAUUUGACCUAUAUGGAAAAAGUAAAGCUAAAAGGACAUUUUAAGUUUGUCUUCUCACCAAUAUUUUUUUCAGGAAUCAGCACUCACAGGGCACAAAUGUGCAUAAUAAUCCACUUGAAUGAAUAAGCAGUCAAAACAAUUAGAAGUAAACAAUGUCACAACGUUGCCAUAGAAGUGGCACAGUCAUGCUGCAGCCUGACAGGUUUCUGAAAAGUCUAUAGGGGAUUUCACAAUUCAAGGUACUGCUUCCUCUGAAAAUUAUAGCAAAACCUCCAUGAGAUUCACAGAAGCCUGUCUGGCUGUGUGCUGGCAGCAGCUAGGAAUGACAAAAAGAGGGAGGAAAACAGGACAGCAUGAGCUACCAAGGACAGGGAGGAGAAAGAGCUUCGGUGCUCCUCUUGCUUUCAACUACAUCCAGAGAGUCUUGCAAGCAAAACGUGGAUUUUGCUAUUUCUUGCCCAGAGCACUGGGGCUUGUCUGCAUCAGAGCUGGUUUUACCUGACCUUGCCAACUGCGCCUGGCCAUCCUUGGACAGUUUUUCUCCUCUGUUUGCUGAGUGCUGCUCUGGCUUCCACAUCAAUGAACACAUAAUUGGUCCUCUCAAAAAUAAACAUAGAAUCAUAGAAUUGUGUGGGUUAGAAGGGACCUUAAAGAUCACCCAAGACCCUGCCAUGGGCUUGGUGCCCCCCACCAGCUCAUGCUGUCUAAUGCCCAUCCAUGGCUUUGCACACCUCCAGGGAGGGGCACACACAGCACCUCUGGGCAGCAGUGCAGGGCCUCAUUACUCUCAACAUUUCCAGCACUUACCCUCGACAUUCCUACGCAAAUAUUUUUAAUGUAGAAUUGUAACAGCCAUUAAAUAUUUAAUAUUAAGUAACCUGUGGGAACUUUUAUGUAUUCUAUUUGAAGACUGAAGGUAAUAACAAAAAGGUGAGAAGAAAUGUGAUAGCUGGUUCAUCUGAAAGCAUGUAGCAAUUUUAGGAUGUAUUUUAUAUAUGAACUCAUAAAACUGAUACAGAAGAAAUUAAAUGUAUACAAUGAUUUAUAGGUGGAUUUAAUAGGCUUGCAAUUUUUUAGUUCCAUACAUCUUCAUGGAAACAGUUAUAAAUCUCUAUAACUUAAAUUGCUUACCCAAGCUCUACAGAAACAGCAUAAACAAAGCAAGCAAUUAUCUGUAAUAAACUUUUUCUUUAAUAUUUUGACACUCACCUCUUUGUAAAACUACAUGAAAUAAUUUAUCAUGUGCAGUAUUAGAAAAUCAGGUUUUAUUUGCUAAGUUCAUCUAUUUUUUGCAAUUGUGUAGAAACCGUCAUCUUUCUGUUAUGGUAAUCAACUCAUUCAGCAUUAAUACAAUGGUAAUGCAAUAUCAUCUAUGCACAAUUAUUUAUAUAUUUAUAUGACUAUAAAUACAGUUGUAUUUUGUCCCCCAUACAUCACAAUAAUCUCAGAAAUCUAGAAAAUUCCCUUUGUAAGCUGCUACUUGAAGUAGUUGGAAAUUCAGUUUUCAUAAUGGCCAGUGUUGACAUUUUAAAUGAUAAUUUGAGCAGUGUUUUCUGGAGUUCAGGCAUUGAUUUCUACACCCAACUGAAGAGUUUGAUGGGGGCAGCCAUCUAAAAAUGCUUGAUAUGAAUCAGUGUGAGCUGCAUUGCAGAAAAUCUCCACAGCUGUGGAAGAUGUGGGAUUUUUCAGAAAAGCAAUUUUAGCCUUCAAUCUACAUCCUAAAAUACAAGUGAAGUGCUAUCAUUUGCUUGGAGUAGCACUUAAACUGGAGAGACAGGGUUCUGUGAAACACAGAACAAAACUCAGAAUAUAGGUAAUUCAGGAGAAGAAUGACAUUGCUGCAUACUUCCUUUGGAGAGCAACAACACUCAGAUAGAUUGCAACAGAUGCAGAAUGUCUUAGUUAUAUAUCGCAGUAUACAAAAGCUCCAAAAAGUUUGCUUUGAAUAAAGAAAAAGACAAGCUGCUGAGAAUAAGAUUUAUUUUGAUGUAAAAAGAGCUAUGCUUAGGCUGUAUGAUUGUUGCAGAAGAGAGAACACUUACACACAGAAUGGAAAUGUGACAGCACUGGGGAUCAAGCCUUAGGAUGUGCCACCAUGUUAUUUUUCUAAAGAGAUUAUGGCCAGAAAUACAUUUUUAAUUUAAUAUAACCCCUCCCCGUGCAUUAAUGUAUGAAGAGAUGAUUCUGCACAAUGUUUUCACAUUAUCGUAUCCCACAGCCUGAAUUCUGCUUGUUAAACUUGAUCAGAUUUUGAGGUCAGGGUUGGCAGUUUUGCCUUGGGUGGCUGAAGUUUUGCAUCAGUUGCUUCGUGGACACCCACAGGCUGCUGCUGGCAUCAAUGGUAUCAAGGACAGACCCUGGAAGAUGAGGACUCCAAAAGGCAGCUCGUAAAUGAAACUGUCUGAUAUUGUUAUCAGUAGCUGUAGACAGCUUUUAAUCUCUGUGGGCCUUCAGUAACUCAGAUGUACACAUCCUGACUGCAGCCCACACAAUGCUUCACCUUAGCGUGAAAUCAAUGUUGGCUCUUGUCAUGAAGAGGCUGGCAUAACUGAUGUCAUAAAUCUGUGUCCAAUACCCCACGUACUGGAUAAAUUAGAGCAAACCACAUAUCUGUUUAAACAGAGCUUCACAAACAGAGUAAUCAAGAUUGUAGUUACAGCUAUAAAAGCAUGCCUGUUGCAAAUUGCAUGUUUAGGCAACCUGUGUAACCUAAACUGAACAUGCCAGCCAUGUGUUUGAGUUCGUUUGCAGCUCAAUCUCAGAAUUUGGCUCGACUUUGCAGUGAUUCUUGGAAGCUUUGUAACCUGCACUGGAAGAGGCUGGUUUUUCUAGCAGCCACUGACAUUUUCCUCUGCUUCACUGUCCACAAGAUGGCAACAUCUGUGGGUCACCAUCUCAGGAUUUUCUCCGAAAAGGAAGAAAACAAGACAAAAUAUCUCUGGUUUAUAUCAAAAAAAUAGUGUCAUAUUUAAGAGAUCGCAUUGGUUCCCUGUGCUCAUUUCUGCCUUCUACCCUUUUAAGAAUUCUUUGGGAAGUGGUACCUUUCCACUGUGUUUUCCAAAAGCAGAAGGAUCAGCACGCUCCUCAAACACAGUCCAAAUUGUUUUGAUCCUACUGCAAAAGAUUUCAAACAAUUUCCAUGUCUUUUUGCCUUUAGUUUUAAUCUUUCUAAAUCCUUUCGCUAUAUACUGUAAGCAGCAAGGGCCAGAUUCAAACAGCAAUUUGACCUCUUUAAAAAGAAACCAUUUCUGGCUUGAGUAGCCUCUGUGAAUUGAUGGGAUUAAUAGCAUUUUGUUAAGCUCUACUUACAAGCAGAGAAAUAAUUGCACUAAAGUUGGCUACAAAGAUAAGAUAGCUGGUUAAAGCCUGGUGCCCUCUGUUUCACCAGCUGUAUGUGCUGAUUUGGUUUACCUUAAAAACUAUCUGAAGCACCAGAAAUAGCUUAGGCUGGAUAAUUUCUGUGGUUUCUGUCCCCACCUUUAUCUUCUGUCCUUUGUAGGGUGCCGUAGAUGACUUGACAACUAUUGAAUCACAAAUGCAAUUAAUUUAUUCCAAAAUCAGACCACUCAGUAGUAAGUGACAAGUGUGUUCCAAUCUUCUUCUCAUCCUUCCUGCUGUACCAAACACCUUUCUGUUCCACCCAAACUAUGAUGUUGGACUCUGGCCCCUGCUGCUCUGAGGUGCCAGCUCCCUUCACCACCACAAAGUGAUUAACACAAUAAAACUGGUUUAUGAGCUGUUGGCUCUGAUCUUCAUUAUGUUGAAUUUGGGUUCUUCAUGACAGCCUGACAAAAGGACUCUGUCUGAAAGCCUAUCUGUUUUCUAAUUAUAUUAGUUGGUUUAAUAAGAGGUACUACCUUUCCUUAUAAAAAUUAAGCAAUGCAUUUAUUCACAGAAGCAGUAUUUUUUUAAAAUUCAGUGACAACCAGCCCAACUGAGCAGCACAUAGAAAAACAUCACUUUGGAUAUCACUUCCCCUGCUAACUGCUUCCCUGCCUUGGUGCCAGGGCAUACUGUAAUACCAGCAUUGAGAUGCAACCAGCCCAGGCUGCCCUCCCGUCUGUUCUCCGAGCCCAGACCUCUCUGGAUAAGCCUUGAUCCAUCCAUGAAGGUGUGAUCACCACCUGAGAUUGAGCAUCUCACCAGCCUGGUCCAGCUCUGCCUGCAGAAAUGUUGCACAACGUAUCUCAGCCAGCAGCAGUUCCCACCACUUCUCAUCAAAGCAUCCUCCCAUCAACAGAGGAGCCAGGAGCAGAGGAAAAGCUCCUUGAUAUAAAAUAGCAGAAGCUCUUUUUGCUCCACUCCUCAGUCUGUUCUGCACUUCUUUCAGGCAGGGCAAGUCCUGCCGUUUUGCUGCAGAUGCUCUGUAUAGAAAGUAUAUGUACAUUAAAUUGCCUCUGUGACCAUGUUUGACUCCUACUCUACAAAUAAAUGGGAGUAGAUAGCUCCCUUCCCUCAGGAACUUCUGUCUGCAGAAAACUGUGGAUUGCUGGGAUAUGCAGAUGAAACAUCUCUUUCUCUCCACCAAGAUAUGAAAGCAAAGAGCUCCUUCCCCUUCUGAGCUUCAGGCCAAGGGGCUCCGACACACACUGAGCAAAUGGGAAGAUGUGUGAUUAGGUAACUUCCAAACUUCAGAAACAUUUCCAUUUUAAAUUCUGACUUCCUGCCAUGCACAUACUCUUCUGUAGCCAGGCUCUGAGGCAAUUUAUUAACAACUCCAGUGGAGUGAUAUCUGCAGAAUCUGUUUUUCAGCUUUUGACAGCUGAGCAGGGCUAAUGUUCCUGUUCCAGAGUGCUGUCGUGGAAGCAGUGCAUAUUCUAUAUAUUCAAUGAAGAAGUGUCCUUUGAAGGUGUAAAUGAAAUCGCUUAUCUGAAGUAAAGAGAUAAAAAAUCAAUUUAAAACAUUUUAGAUUGUUUAUCAGCAUGUAAGAAAAAAAUACAAGAUUGACCAGGCUUUACAAAGAAGGUUUUAAACCACAAACUACCAGUACUUUUAGGUUGUAUUUCCUGUUCAGUAAAUUAAACAUUUCAAUGGAUAGCAAUGCAUUUCAGAAACAUAAAUUAAAAAUGAAUAGAUAAACAAUAGAAUAAAACCUGCCAAAUGCUUUCAAUAUUUUAAUUUCUUAAAUACAAAAACCUACUGAAGUUGCUUCUACAACCUUAAAAUCUAACAGAACCCAUUGAGAUCAGCACUAGAUCCAAGAUCUGAAAUGAGGGGUUUUAAAAAAUACCUGAAAUACUCUAAAUAUUAGAUAAAGAAAAGUUAGAGAGGUGUUCAGGGAAAGAAUAAUGGCAAUUUUGUUCACAUCAGGGAUUUAAAUGAAUAUGAAAUCAUGAAAGUCUUAACAUUGUUCUUGAACUUUCCCAGAACAUAGGUCUUACUUGGAUGAAUGUUACAAGGAGAGUGGAAGAAAGACUUAGACUAAAACAGGAUUGACAUGCAUGAUGAAUUACAGUUCAUUAAUCCAAUUAAUGAGUAAUUCCAGAAGCUUUAAUCCCAGAUAAAGCUCUUUAUUGCAGCUCUGUUGGCUAGUGAUGCACAAACUAAGAGCCUGUCAGCAAAUCAAUUGUAAAAUUCUAUUAAAUAAAGCUUGUCUUACAUUUUCA